GAAAGAAAGAAAGAAAGAAAGAAAGAAAGAAAGAAAAGAAAGAAAGAAAGAAAGAAAGAAAGAAAGAAAGAAAGAAAGAAAGAAAGAAAGAAAGAAAGAAAGAAGAGAGAGAGAGAGAGAGAGAGAGGGAGGGAGGGAGGGAGGGAGGGAGGGAGGGAGGGAGGGAGGGAGGGAGAGAGGGAGGAAGGAAGGAAGGAAGGAAGGAAGGAAGGAAGGAAGGAAGGAAGGAAGGAAGGAAGGAAGGAAGGAAGGAAGAAGGGAAAAGAAAGAAAGAAAGAAAGAAACAAAGGAGGGAAGAGAAAGAAAGAAAGAAAGAAAGAAAGAAAGAAAGAAAGAAAGAAAGAAAGAAAGAAAGAAAGAAAGAAAGAAAGAAAGAAAGAAAGAAAGAAGAAAGAAAGAAAGAAAGAAAGAAAAGAAAGAAAGAAAGAAAGAAAAGAAAGAAAGAAAGAAAGAAAGAAAGAAAGAAAGAAAGAAAGAAAGAAAGAAAGAAAGAAAGAAAGAAAGAAAGAAAGAAAGAAAGAAAGAGAAAGAAGGGAGGGAGGGAAAGGAGGGAAGGAAGGAAGGAAGGAAGGAGGGAGGAAGGAAGGGAGGAAAGAAGGAAGGGAGGAAGGAAGGGAGGAAGAAAGGAAAGAAGGAAGAGAAAGAAAGAAAGAAAGAAAGAAAGAAAGAAAGAAAGAAAGAAAGAAAGAAAGAAAGAAAGAAAGAAGAAGAAAGAAAGAAAAGAAAGAAAGAAAGAAAGAAAGAAAGAAAGAAAGAAAAGAAAGAAAGAAAGAAAGAAAGAAAGAAAGAAAGAAAGAAAGAAAGAAAGAAAGAAAGAAAGAAAGAAAGAAAGGAAAAGGAAAGAAAAGAAAAAAAGGAAAGAAAGAAAAACAUCCGCAGCAGGUGAGGUAAGACAUUUAUCUUGCUCCAGGGGUUGGUCUUCAGGGCACCUCAAGAAUCUCAUCUCUAGGCCCUGUGCUGAUAUUUAUUCAUUUUGAAGGAAUGGUAUUAUGUUUGAAACCCAGAUAACUGGCCACUUCUGGAGGCUCUUCAAAAGCUUAGAAAUGAAAGGUCACAUUUGGUUUAGUGGUUGCUUCUAAGACAAUGUGGCUCUUUUUGUAAUUAUCCUCUUAAUGUUAGCAUUCCACCCCUGCCAUACCAUUUACAAAACUACAUGUUCACUAAAAUUCAGUCACUCUAUCGUGACAUGAGGAAGAGCAACGCUAUUCCAUAGGUGCCUUUUCUAGAAUCCCUCUCCUAAGUGAAAACUCCUCUGGAAUAUCCCUCUUUCUUUCCCCCAAAAACCCUGUUUCCUGCUCUUUUUUCCUCUUCCCUUCUUGUCCUCUCCUCUCCUUACAUUCUCACUUUUCCCCCAGCCAUGCGGAGGCCCAAAUUCGCAUGAAGUAGAGAACCGGUCAG
This 1398-nucleotide long non-coding RNA is filed under the name Phascolarctos cinereus (koala). RNAcentral describes it as "lncRNA (ENSPCIG00000036332.1)". The record is from RNAcentral. Lineage: Eukaryota; Metazoa; Chordata; Mammalia; Diprotodontia; Phascolarctidae.